Molecule: non-coding RNA, 113 nt
Organism: Acanthosepion pharaonis
Lineage: Eukaryota; Metazoa; Mollusca; Cephalopoda; Sepiida; Sepiidae
Source: the annotation of a GenBank genome assembly
UACAGCCGUAUCACAUCGAAACACUGGUUCCUGUAUAAUCAGCAAAGUUAAGCAAUGUUGAGUCUGAUCAAUACCUAGAUGAGUGACCACUUGGGAAUACCAGGUGUUGUAAG